UCAUUUUGACCCUUGCUUGAGGGCUCAGCUUUCUUGGAAACAGCAGACUUCAGAAUUGCAAGUUAAAGGCUAAACUCCUUUUUAACUAUAUUCUAGGCUCUCAGUGAUGGUUGUCAGGCCAGCUGGGAAUCACCUUGUUCUAACAGAAACAAAAUACAGAGAAUAGGAUGAGGAGAGACAGAAAAUGAUAGCUAAUGGUUUUUCUUAAGGCAGUCAGUAUCCUCACCGCAGCGUGA
Molecule: long non-coding RNA, 236 nt
Filed under: Bos taurus (domestic cattle)
Lineage: Eukaryota; Metazoa; Chordata; Mammalia; Artiodactyla; Bovidae
Description: long non-coding RNA NONBTAT004942
Source: RNAcentral